Molecule: non-coding RNA, 132 nt
Organism: Nerophis lumbriciformis (worm pipefish)
Lineage: Eukaryota; Metazoa; Chordata; Actinopteri; Syngnathiformes; Syngnathidae
Source: RefSeq, a predicted model, not a curated record
AGUGAGGCUAGAGUCACGUCUGGACGCCAUCCGUUGUCCUGGCGUGCUAGAGCGCUCGCAGAGUAAACGUCCGUGCUUAUUCGUUGGCUGUAGUCAGCAGUGGCCCGGCCAUUCACCAACUCGGACACAUUG